UGAGACCUCUAUUUACCAAUGGGUAUAAGGAU
RNAcentral lists this non-coding RNA (32 nucleotides) under Mus musculus (house mouse). The record is from RNAcentral. Lineage: Eukaryota; Metazoa; Chordata; Mammalia; Rodentia; Muridae.